This 548-nucleotide ribosomal RNA is filed under the name uncultured Glomus. Its description in RNAcentral is "SSU rRNA". It matches the Rfam family "Eukaryotic small subunit ribosomal RNA", at positions 548 to 1098 of the family's 1831-position model. The record is from RNAcentral. Lineage: Eukaryota; Fungi; Glomeromycota; Glomeromycetes; Glomerales; Glomeraceae.
UUGGAGGGCAAGUCUGGUGCCAGCAGCCGCGGUAAUUCCAGCUCCAAUAGCGUAUAUUAAAGUUGUUGCAGUUAAAAAGCUCGUAGUUGAAUUUCGAGACUGGUUUAUUGGUCGUGCUUUUGUACGUACUGGUAUUAUUGGUUUCUCCUUUCUGACGAAUCAUAAUGCCAUUAAUUUGGUGUUUUGGGGAAUCAGGACUGUUACUUUGAAAAAAUUAGAGUGUUUAAAGCAGGCUCACGCUUGAAUACAUUAGCAUGGAAUAACGGAAUAGGACGUUUGAUUCUAUUUUGUUGGUUUCUAGGAUCGACGUAAUGAUUAAUAGGGAUAGUUGGGGGCAUUAGUAUUCAAUUGUCAGAGGUGAAAUUCUUGGAUUUAUUGAAGACUAACUACUGCGAAAGCAUUUGCCAAGGAUGUUUCCAUUAAUCAAGAACGAAAGUUAGGGGAUCGAAGACGAUCAGAUACCGUCGUAGUCUUAACCAUAAACUAUGCCGACUAGGGAUCGGAUGAUGUUAAUUUUUUAAUGACUCAUUCGGCGCCUUACGGGAAAC